GGUGCAGGCGGCUCUUCAAGUCGGUUAUAAAAUCUCUUGGCUUAACUAAGAGGGACUGACCGAUACUGUUGGGCUGGAGAGCAGCAGAGGGAGAUGGAAUUCCCGGUGUAGUGGUGAAAUGCGUAGAUAUCGGGAGGAACAUCAGUGGCGAAAGCGGUCUCCUAGGCUGUUUCUGACGCUGAGGCCCUAAAGCGUGGGGAGCAAACAGGAUUAGAUACCCUGGUAGUCCACGCCCUAAACUAUGGAUACUAGGUAUGGGGGGUAUCGACCCCCUCCGUGCCGAAGUUAACACGUUAAGUAUCCCGCCUGGGGAGUACGGCCGCAAGGUUAAA
RNAcentral lists this ribosomal RNA (332 nucleotides) under uncultured bacterium. RNAcentral describes it as "bacterial SSU rRNA". It matches the Rfam family "Bacterial small subunit ribosomal RNA", at positions 568 to 898 of the family's 1533-position model. The record is from RNAcentral.